Oncorhynchus tshawytscha (Chinook salmon) is the source of this 756-nucleotide long non-coding RNA. RefSeq lists it as uncharacterized. NCBI's taxonomy places the organism in Eukaryota, Metazoa, Chordata, Actinopteri, Salmoniformes, Salmonidae. The transcript is spliced from 3 exons. The record is from RefSeq and is a predicted model, not a curated record.
GUCUAUAGGAAAUGCCAACACAUUUACAGUCUAGUUUGAUGUGUUUCCUAAUAUCCUUUCAGGUGGUAUUACUAUCAUCCAGUGAUCCACAUAACAUGAGGAUGAACCCUGCUAUUCUCCACUCAGGUGGAGAGAGAAAGAUGAUUAAACGAUAAGAUCCUGCGUUUUUGGUAAUGUAGGAAAACCAUGUCAAAUGAACGUUCAGAAGAAUAACCAAAGGCACAAUGGCAACCACUAAACAGACUGCUGUGAACUAUGUCUCAGAUCGCAGACUGGACCUUAUCAGAUUGCUCAAGGAUCUGACACUUAUUGUUGACAACCUUCAGCAGCAGAGAAUUUUCCUCAAUGAGGAAGUGGAAGUUAUUAAUAGUAAGGAGACAAGAAGUGACAAAGCCAGAGAAAUACUGGACAGAGUCGUUAAAAAGGGAGAAGCUGCAUGUUACAAGUUACUGGAGAUUCUGUACAUUACGAGACAGAGGACAUUACUGCAGCCUUCCUCUGAUUCAAAGGACAGACGGCAGCAUGACCUGUACCACUGGAUCAGCUGCUUCCCAUUCAAGGAAGACCAAGAGGUGGACACUGACAUCCUUGAAGGCUCAAUAGCCUGUCACAGAUAUCAGACACAGCUGAAAUGUAAAGCACGGAAGAUCACAGAGGGUGCAUGGAAACAAAGCUGUAGUCUCCUACCAGAGAGAUGUAGAACUGAGGGGACUUUCUCUUAUACCCCUGUUGUGUUAGAUACAGACGUGCAUUCAU